Small nuclear RNA from Globicephala melas (long-finned pilot whale), 147 nucleotides. RefSeq annotates it as U4 spliceosomal RNA. The record is from RefSeq and is a predicted model, not a curated record. NCBI's taxonomy places the organism in Eukaryota, Metazoa, Chordata, Mammalia, Artiodactyla, Delphinidae.
AGCUUUGCGCAGUGGCAGUAUCGUAGCCAAUGAGGUUUAUCCGAGGCGCGAUUAUUGCUAAUUGAAAACUUUUCUCAGUACAGCAAUGCCAUGUCUAUUAGUCCUGGGUCUUUUCUUUAGUAGCUAAUUUUUUGACAUCAAAAAUGA